This is a non-coding RNA of Myotis davidii, 76 nucleotides long. The record is from Rfam. NCBI's taxonomy places the organism in Eukaryota, Metazoa, Chordata, Mammalia, Chiroptera, Vespertilionidae.
UGCAGUUCUCAGGUGAUGCAUCCCAGAAUCUGACUCCCUCCUCUCUGGUUUCAGGGUGCACCACCCAAGAACUGCC